RNAcentral lists this antisense RNA (75 nucleotides) under Micromonospora halophytica. RNAcentral's name for it is "ASpks TB sRNA". It matches the Rfam family "ASpks TB sRNA". The record is from Rfam by way of RNAcentral. Lineage: Bacteria; Bacillati; Actinomycetota; Actinomycetes; Micromonosporales; Micromonosporaceae.
CUUCAGCGAGCCGAGCCAGAGCGGCCGGUCCGCCGGGCGGUCCGUGCCGUACGUCGCCAGCAGGGCCUGCGCCUC